Non-coding RNA from Pelobates cultripes (western spadefoot toad), 612 nucleotides. The record is from the annotation of a GenBank genome assembly. NCBI's taxonomy places the organism in Eukaryota, Metazoa, Chordata, Amphibia, Anura, Pelobatidae.
GGCAAUGUGUGUGGUGGGGCAGUGUGUAUAUGUGGGGGAUAUAAGGAUUUUCAAACUCUGUUCACAAGUCAUUUAAUGGCUGGAGUUAACAUUGUCAGACCUCAGUUAAGUUCUCUGGGUGAUUAUAUUUUGCAAGUCUUAUAUUAGUUACCAUGAAAUGAACAUGCAACAUCGACUACACAAAAACACACUCUGCAAUCACUAUACACUCAGUACAUCUACUACACAAACACAGACUCUGCAGUUACUAUACAAACACACACUGCGCAUUCACAAUACAUAGAAACAUAGAAUGUGACGGCAGAUAAGAACCAUUCGGCCCAUCUAGUCUGCCCAAUUUUCUAAAUACUUUCAUUAGUCCCUAGUCUUAUCUUAUAGUUAGGAUAGCCUUAUGCCUAUCCCACGCAUGUUUAAACUCCUUUACUGUGUUACACAUUUAGCAGUCACUAUACACACACUAUAUCCACUUCACAAACACACACUCUGCAGUCACUAUACACUGACUACAUCCACUACACAAACACAUGCUCUGCAAUGACUAUACACACUCUGCAGUCAUUAUACACACUGCAUCUAAUACACACAAACACUACAUCCACUACACAAACCCAC